AAAGGGCUCCAACACUUGCAUUGCUGUGAUGCAGACCCUGUAAUAAUAGUUGGUUACAUCCAGAGAAUUCAGUUCAGAUUUUAAAACCUCAUCAAAUAGUUAAUGACUGACUAUUUCAACACAGCAGUUUCUUCAAGACUUGGGAGAGAAGAGAGGGGGAGAUGGAAAAGUUAUUCAUGUCCCAUCUGUCUGGAACGCUUGUCCCCUCCCUCCCACCCACUGAGUCACUUCCUCCCUUUAUAUCUCACUUAAAAUUUUUCCUUUCCCCUUUAGCUUAUGAUUAACAGGCACUCACCCUCUGCAAAUUGUUUUUUUUUUUUUUCCUUUUUUCUUUUUUCCCCCCGAUGCAAUGUUUGUUAAGGUUCUGUGGAUAAGUAGAGCAUAUUGUCUUGCAAAUAGAUGCACGGAGUGAAAUGCAGUAUAUGCUGCAUGUGGCCAUGUAAAUGAAUGUAUCAACUACUGCAACAUCUUGUUGGUGCUCCAGCCUUCCCACCUGAGCCAAGGAACUCACAAUACACCGCGAUGGUGAUUUUGUCCCUGUUGCUCAAAGCACGGCCAUAAGAUGCCCAGGGAAAGGCAAGUUGCUUGAACCAUGGGGUGGAAGUGUUUUGUGGAAGCAGCACCUAGCAGGAGGGCUGGGGCAGCUGCCAGCAGCCCUGAGAGGGGUUCACUCAGCUGUGCAGCCUGACCCAGGUAAUGAAGCACUUUGGAGACAAGGAGUAUGCGCUCUGCAAGACAAGAGAAAGAGCUGUGUUCCAGUGGCCUCCCAGGCCAGGAGUUGCACAGCUUUUGGACCCAUGCUGGCCUAGUGAAGCCUGCCAAGGAGAUGGGCUGUGCAAAGCCUUCUGAUGGCCUGGUGGAGGAUAACAGCUACAGGAGAGGAGCAGGAGGACAGCCUACCAGGUUUUGCUCAGGCCAGAAGGAUGAGGCUCUGUGUUUGUCAUUAGGACUGGGUACACACAGUUCUGUGGAUUUUGUACUUUUACAGCUGCUCUGUGAUAAUAUUGCAGUUUGCUACCGCUGUUUCGCUGUGCAAAUGGUUGUAAAGCAAGAAGGUUACGGGAGGACGCUUGUGUGAAGCUCUGUUGAACGCCGGCUGCAGUGGCUUGUCG
Molecule: long non-coding RNA, 1112 nt
Filed under: Anas platyrhynchos platyrhynchos (common mallard)
Lineage: Eukaryota; Metazoa; Chordata; Aves; Anseriformes; Anatidae
Description: lncRNA (ENSAPLG00000017007.1)
Source: RNAcentral